GUAUAUAUAUAUAUAUAUAUACACUCGCCCUUUUUUUUCUGUCUACCCUUGUUUUAAGGUUUAAGAGUAUAACAUGGCUCAAUUGCCUCCCAAAAUACCUACUAUCACUCCAAAUUGGCCUCCAUUUCCCCAGCAAACAAUGUCCAAUUAUCUCUCCAAUACUCACACCACCACCGCCACCGUCACCCCAGCCGUCCUUGACAACCAUCAACCCUCUUGGGUUGAAGAAUUCUUGGACUUCACCUCUGCCAGACGCGGCGUCCAUCGCCGGUCCAUAAGCGAUUCCAUCGCAUUCCUCGGGACAAGUACAACGCCACUGGCGGAAGAUUGCAAUAAGCAGAUCAAUGGCAACAACAACAAUAAUAAUAAUCAUAAUUCCUCGAAUGCAUUCAUCUCCGAAAAUCUUGGAUUCGACAAGCUAGAUGACGAGCAGCUCAUGUCCAUGUUCUCCGACGACAUGUCAUUGUCGAUGCCGCCAUCCUCGCCCAACCCAUCAACGCCGUCCGAUCAGAACAGCAAUAAUGAUGAGAAACCAAUGGUGGGAUUAGAUCAACAAUAUCAUCAUCAACAACAACAACAAAAACAAAAUGAACAGCAACAGCCGGCCAAGGCUGAGCCAGAGGAGGUGGAGAGCUCAUGCAAGCAAGAACCACCAAAACAACAGCCUCCCACAUCUUCAAACGAUGACCCUAUCAUUAUCGAUCCUAAAAGGGUUAAAAGGUAAUUAACCACGUAAUAAAAUGUCUUAAAUGUGAUAAUUCUUGUUAUUGGGAGGUGAUUACUGGUUAUGUAGGGUUGCAUGUGGACAUAUAACCAAUGCAGUGAAUAUAUAUGAAAGUAAAAAGUUGCUAGUGUUAGCGAAUUUUGUUUAUUGGAUAUGUUAUCCACGGUGAAAAUAUUUGUGGUUGCAAAUUCAACGUUAUUUAUCAGAAUCUUGGCAAAUCGCCAAUCUGCACAAAGGUCAAGAGUGAGGAAGUUGCAAUACAUUUCAGAGCUUGAACGUAGUGUCACAACAUUGCAGGUACAUUAAUUAUCUUCUUUUUAAUCGUUUAUACAUUGAAAAUUUCUCAAAGAAAAUUUAUUUUAUGGGAUUGAAUUCUCUGUAUAUUGAUGCUAAUAUAUUUAAUAUGCAUUAUCUUAUAUUUCUAAAGAUUUAAUUGUUAUAAAUUAAAUUGUUUUUAAUGAUAUAUAAAAUUCUUCAUGAAAAUUGAAGACGGAAGUAUCAGCAUUGUCACCGAGAGUAGCAUUUCUAGACCAUCAGAGGUUGAUUCUGAAUGUUGAUAAUAGUGCUUUAAAACAAAGGAUUGCUGCAUUGGCUCAAGACAAGAUUUUCAAAGAUGGUAAGAGAAAUUCAUCAUUGCAAAUUUAAAUAAUCGUUAUUUUCUGUCACCAUGUUUGAUGUUAAGGACUACAUGAUUAUGAACUAUGAUUUCUUGGUCUGACAACUGCUUUCCAUAGCUAGAGACAUUGGAAUUCCAUACAUAAUUAGAUUUGCCAUACUAACUACCUAUUUAUGAUUAAUCUUACUAUUUUUUUUUAGCUCUUGUACAUGUAUCACUAUCAGAAUCAUCACUGAGGUAGCUGAAUUUCAUAAGAAUUCCUUGAAAUCUUCUUUUCCCCAUAUCAUUGUCAACCGUCCUUAAUUGGACAAGCAUCUUUCUUUAACCAAUAGAGAACUGGAAUUCUUGAAUUAUUGACAAAGAGUUGUCUUGAUUUAAAACUAUUAAUUAAUUAAGUUGAAAAUAUAAAUAUGUUAUUAUGUGUAAUGGCAGCUCACCAAGAGGCAUUAAAGAAGGAAAUAGAGAGACUAAGGCAAGUGUAUCAUCAACAAUACCUUAAGAAGAUGAAAAACAGCAGCAACAAUGGAGGCGGAGGAGCAGCAGCAAACCAUGAAACUAUUCAGUGUACGGACAAGAGGAGCUUCUCAUGAGCUGAGAAAACAGAAAAGGAGGGUAGUAGACUAGUGGAUGAGAAGCUACGGUGCCAUUGAUUUGAUCUGGUGCUAACCUGGGAUAUCACGUGAUGUGUCUCUUUAGAGUGGGGCCCCUGACAAGCUUGUGAGAUUGGAAUUAGAGAGUUUGACAUUGGCACGUGGACUGCUAAGAUAGGGAGGUGACAACAACAAUUUUUUUUUUAAUAUUCUUGGGUUGGUUUGAUAUUUU
Molecule: unclassified non-coding RNA, 2162 nt
Filed under: Hevea brasiliensis (rubber tree)
Lineage: Eukaryota; Viridiplantae; Streptophyta; Magnoliopsida; Malpighiales; Euphorbiaceae
Source: RNAcentral